Molecule: non-coding RNA, 29 nt
Filed under: Mus musculus (house mouse)
Lineage: Eukaryota; Metazoa; Chordata; Mammalia; Rodentia; Muridae
Source: RNAcentral
UGGGUGUUCUCAUGGACAGAGUGCUGCCU